GAUGAACGCUGGCGGCGUGCCUAAUACAUGCAAGUCGAGCGAACAGACGAGGAGCUUGCUGCUCUGACGUUAGCAACGGACGGGUGAGUAGCAAGUAGCUUACCUACCUAUAAGACUGGGAUAACUUCGGGAAACCGGAGCUACUACCGGAUAAUAUAUUGAACCGCAUGGUUCUGUAGUGAAAGAUGGUUUUUCUGUGACUUAUAGAUGGAUCAGCGCCGCAUUAGCUAGUUGGUAAGGUAACGGCCUACCAAGGAACCGAUGCGUAGCCGACAGGAGCGGGGGAUCGGCCACACGAGAGCUGAAACGCCGACACUGCGCCUACGGGAGGCAGCAGUAGGGAAUGGUCCGCAAUGGUCGGAAGCCUGACGCAGCGACGCAGCGUGUGUGAUGAAGGUCUUCGGAUAGGAAUACUCGCUUAUGAGUGAAGAACAAAUUUGUGAGGGAAUAUGCACGUCGUGACGGUACCUGAACAGAAAGCAACGGCUAACUACGUG
Molecule: ribosomal RNA, 497 nt
Filed under: uncultured bacterium
Lineage: Bacteria
Description: partial 16S ribosomal RNA
Rfam family: Bacterial small subunit ribosomal RNA
Source: RNAcentral